Oreochromis aureus is the source of this 2037-nucleotide long non-coding RNA. The record is from Ensembl. Lineage: Eukaryota; Metazoa; Chordata; Actinopteri; Cichliformes; Cichlidae.
AGAGUACAAACUAAUGUGUCAAAAUCGCAGCAUAAUACAGAGCCUUUGGAAAGUCUUCUGAGUUGUGAAGUUUCUCAUUUGAUUUUAUAUUGAGGUGAAUAUAGAGAGCAAAAACAAACAAACAAAAACAGCAUCUAUGCAUUUCAAUGUUGAAACAUAAAUAUUGGUGGUAAAGGGAGGAUGCUGGACAGACUUGGUGUGGCCAAAUGAUGGUGUGCAGGGAAUAUCUGGCAGAUCAGGGAUAUCUUUGAUUUCUAACAGCAUUCCAAUUGAGGUUCUCCUGACAAGUACAGGCAGGUUAAGUGGAGUGCAGUUCUGGCAGCAGCUGAAGCAAAAACCCAGGUCAUGGUCCUCGGUCUUUGACCCAGUUUUUGAGUUUAUUAUGGUCUUGUGAAUCAUUCUUUUGGAUAAGAGAUUUUCUAGUUCUAUAUUGGUUUAGUAGUAGUAGUUUUAUAUCAGUUAAUCUUGAGUUUUGUUUCUCUAGUGCAUCUGAGUUUGUUAUUGAUAGUUCCUGGUUCUUAGUUUUGUUAUGUUAGUUCCCUUUAGUGUCUAGUCUGUUCCUGGUCUCAUAUCGGUCUUGUCAUCAGCGACUCCUGUUCUAGUCUGGUUAGUUUCCAUGUUUCGUUAUCCUUUGUUUUCCUGAUCAUGUUCCCAUGUCUCUCUGGUCUCUCUGUCCUCCCAUGUUAAUUCAUCUGUGGUCAAGUUCACGUGUCUCAGUCUAGAGCUAAGUGUGUGCUGUUUCCUGUUUUAUUUUGAUAGUCUCCUGCCUCGCGUGUAUUAUAUUCAGUUUUUUACUUCCCUUGUCUCCCUAGUCAGUGAUUAGUGUCAGCUGUGUACCCACCUGGGGCCUGUCCCCUCAUGAUCCUGUGUGUAUAUCGUCUCAGUCUUCCUCUGUUCCUUAUCACGUUCUCCCUCACAGUGUCCAGCUGUGAUGGCUACCGCUGACCACACCACUUCUCAGCAGUACACUCAGCAACCGACUGCAGCACCUGGGCCCUCUCAGUCCCACCAGAGAGCGUCCUACCAGCCAGCACCAGCUCAGCCCGAUGACCCAGCUGAGCUCAUGACCACAUCACCCAGCCAUGAACAGCCAUUCCUAAGACCACCGCCAUCAUAUGAGGAAACAACUGGUCCUGCCUACCCUGUACAACUGAUGCCUUCCAGCGAGACAGUGUUCAUCCCCAGCGAUCCACUGUACCUAUCAGAGGGUAUUGUGCAUGAGUACAACGGUCUACAGGACAGCACAGACUUCCUAACCAGCUCUGCAUGCGACCCUGAAUUUGUUAUAAGCUAGGCUUAAUAGUCAUAGCGGCCCAAUCAGAUACAAACAUGAUGCAAAAUAUUUGGCUCAAAUGGAAGUAUGUUGAAUGAAGAUGAGACACGGCAGACUAACUUGAUGUAUUUUCAAUUUUAUUCUUUAAACCAGUUUUUAGUGGCUCAAGUUAUUUAGAAAAAUUGAAACAUGAGGUCACUGUUUCUCACUAAUUGUCUUUGGGCUUAUUCCUCAAGAUCUCUGCCUCUUGUCUUUACUCUCUAUUGGGGAAAGUACUUGACAGUCAGAUUCAGUGGUCACCAGUUAGGUGUUUCAGUGUUCAUUAGAAAUGCAUCGAUGGAUGCGCAUGCGAGAUAAAUAUGAACACGUUAAAGAAGCUAAAGUCAGGCGGUUGUACAGAAAAUCAUUGUGAAGUUUAAUAACUUUUGUUAUUAUUUUAUUAUUUUAUUAUAGUGCAUCUCUAGUAUCUGUGGAUAUCAUCUCAUCGCUAUCUAUGAAUUUACUGCAGACCUGCAAAGUGCUGUUAACCUUUUUUUCCCUGUGUAUUUGUGUGCAUUGUCUUGUGAGUCAUGCUACAUGUGAAUAAAUUCAAAGAGUGAAAACAUUUAUCACUGAGGGUUUUUUCUCCAUUCAUGUCAGGUCAGCUGAUCACUCAGGCUUCCUGAACACAUACAGUUCCACUUAGUUAAUACCUAAAAGUGUUUUUGACCAUCAAAUACAACUUUAAAAUUCAUCAUGUCAUUUUGACAAAAUAAGCAUCCUCU